RNAcentral lists this ribosomal RNA (819 nucleotides) under Leuconostoc mesenteroides. RNAcentral's name for it is "bacterial SSU rRNA". It matches the Rfam family "Bacterial small subunit ribosomal RNA", at positions 43 to 840 of the family's 1533-position model. The record is from RNAcentral. Lineage: Bacteria; Bacillati; Bacillota; Bacilli; Lactobacillales; Lactobacillaceae.
AAUGCAUAAGCGCUAUAAUGCAGUCGAACGCACAGCGAAAGGUGCUUGCACCUUUCAAGUGAGUGGCGAACGGGUGAGUAACACGUGGACAACCUGCCUCAAGGCUGGGGAUAACAUUUGGAAACAGAUGCUAAUACCGAAUAAAACUUAGUGUCGCAUGACACAAAGUUAAAAGGCGCUUCGGCGUCACCUAGAGAUGGAUCCGCGGUGCAUUAGUUAGUUGGUGGGGUAAAGGCCUACCAAGACAAUGAUGCAUAGCCGAGUUGAGAGACUGAUCGGCCACAUUGGGACUGAGACACGGCCCAAACUCCUACGGGAGGCUGCAGUAGGGAAUCUUCCACAAUGGGCGAAAGCCUGAUGGAGCAACGCCGCGUGUGUGAUGAAGGCUUUCGGGUCGUAAAGCACUGUUGUAUGGGAAGAACAGCUAGAAUAGGAAAUGAUUUUAGUUUGACGGUACCAUACCAGAAAGGGACGGCUAAAUACGUGCCAGCAGCCGCGGUAAUACGUAUGUCCCGAGCGUUAUCCGGAUUUAUUGGGCGUAAAGCGAGCGCAGACGGUUUAUUAAGUCUGAUGUGAAAGCCCGGAGCUCAACUCCGGAAUGGCAUUGGAAACUGGUUAACUUGAGUGCAGUAGAGGUAAGUGGAACUCCAUGUGUAGCGGUGGAAUGCGUAGAUAUAUGGAAGAACACCAGUGGCGAAGGCGGCUUACUGGACUGCAACUGACGUUGAGGCUCGAAAGUGUGGGUAGCAAACAGGAUUAAUCCCGGGGGAAAACCAAAAUUUUUAAGGGGUUUUUGGGUAUUGGGUUGUUGUUUGGAUU